This 502-nucleotide ribosomal RNA is filed under the name Vermamoeba vermiformis. RNAcentral's name for it is "SSU rRNA". It matches the Rfam family "Eukaryotic small subunit ribosomal RNA", at positions 1215 to 1719 of the family's 1831-position model. The record is from RNAcentral. Lineage: Eukaryota; Tubulinea; Echinamoebida; Vermamoebidae.
UUACGAGGUCAGGACACUGUGAGGAUCGACAGAUUGAAAGCUCUUUCUUGAUUCAGUGGGUGGUGGUGCGUGGCCGUUCUUAGUUGGUGGAGUGAUUUGUCUGGUUAAUUCCGUUAACGAACGAGACCUUAACCUGCUAAAUAGUCACGCGAACCGGUCCGCAAGGGCUCAAAGUUCGCGGCUCGACUUCUUAGAGGGACUAUUCGCACCCGCCAGCGAAUGGAAGUUUGAGGCAAUAACAGGUCUGUGAUGCCCUUAGAUGUUCUCGGCCGCACGCGCGUUACACUGACGGAGUCAACGAGCGUUUUUCCUUGCCCGACAGGGCUGGGUAACCUCCUGAAACUCCGUCGUGAUGGGGAUAGAUCAUUGCAAUUAUUGAUCUUGAACGAGGAAUUCCUAGUAAGCGCGAGUCAUCAACUCGCGCUGAUUACGUCCCUGCCCUUUGUACACACCGCCCGUCGCUCCUACCGAUUGAACGGUCCGGCGAGAACUCCGGAUGGUC